RNAcentral lists this ribosomal RNA (468 nucleotides) under uncultured bacterium. RNAcentral describes it as "partial 16S ribosomal RNA". It matches the Rfam family "Bacterial small subunit ribosomal RNA", at positions 28 to 507 of the family's 1533-position model. The record is from RNAcentral.
GACGAACGCUGGCGGCGUGCUUAACACAUGCAAGUCGAACGGAAAGGCCCUGCUUUUGUGGGGUGCUCGAGUGGCGAACGGGUGAGUAACACGUGAGUAACCUGCCCUUGACUUUGGGAUAACUUCAGGAAACUGGGGCUAAUAUCGGAUAGGAGCUCCUGCUGCAUGGUGGGGGUUGGAAAGUUUCGGCGGUUGGGGAUGGACUCGCGGCUUAUCAGCUUGUUGGUGGGGUAGUGGCUUACCAAGGCUUUGACGGGUAGCCGGCCUGAGAGGGUGACCGGCCACAUUGGGACUGAGAUACGGACCAGACUCCUACGGUAGGCAGCAGUGGGGAAUAUUGCACAAUGGGCGGAAGCCUGAUGCAGCAACGCCGCGUGCGGGAUGACGGCCUUCGGGUUGUAAACCGCUUUCGCCUGUGACGAAGCGUGAGUGACGGUAAUGGGUAAAGAAGCACCGGCUAACUACGUG